AGCGAACGCUGGCGGCAGGCCUAACACAUGCAAGUCGAACGAACUCUUCGGAGUUAGUGGCGGACGGGUGAGUAACACGUGGGAACGUGCCUCUAGGUUCGGAAUGACUCAGGGAAACUUGUGCUAAUACCGAAUGUGCCCUUCGGGGGAAAGAUUUAUCGCCUUUAGAGCGGCCCGCGUCUGAUUAGCUAGUUGGUGAGGUAAAGGCUAACAAAGGCGACGAUCAAUAGCUGGUCUGAGAGGAUGAUCAGCCACAUUGGGACUGAGACACGGCCCAAACUCCUACGGGAGGCAGCAGUGGGGCAUCUUGCGCAAUGGGCUAAAGCCUGACGCAGCCAUGCCGCGUGAAUGAUGAAGGUCUUAGGAUUGUAAAAUUCUUUCACCGGGGACGAUAAUGACGGUACCCGGAGAAGAAGCCCCGGCUAACUUCGUGCCAGCCGCCGCCGUAA
This 449-nucleotide ribosomal RNA is filed under the name uncultured bacterium. RNAcentral describes it as "partial 16S ribosomal RNA". It matches the Rfam family "Bacterial small subunit ribosomal RNA", at positions 29 to 523 of the family's 1533-position model. The record is from RNAcentral.